GGGGGACGCAGUAGGAUAGGCGAAGCGUGCGAUUGGAUUGCACGUCUAAGCAGUAAGGCUGAGUAUUAGGCAAAUCCGGUACUCGUUAAGGCUGAGCUGUGAUGGGGAGAAGACAUUGUGUCUUCGAGUCGUUGAUUUCACACUGCCGAGAAAAGCCUCUAGAUAGAAAAUAGGUGCCCGUACCGCAAACCGACACAGGUAGUCAAGAUGAGAAUUCUAAGGUGAGCGAGCGAACUCUCGUUAAGGAACUCGGCAAAAUGACCCCGUAACUUCGGGAGAAGGGGUGCUCUUUAGGGUUAACGCCCAGAAGAGCCGCAGUGAAUAGGCCCAAGCGACUGUUUAUCAAAAACACAGGUCUCUGCUAAACCGUAAGGUGAUGUAUAGGGGCUGACGCCUGCCCGGUGCUGGAAGGUUAAGAGGAGUGGUUAGCUUCUGCGAAGCUACGAAUCGAAGCCCCAGUAAACGGCGGCCGUAACUAUAACGGUCCUAAGGUAGCGAAAUUCCUUGUCGGGUAAGUUCCGACCCGCACGAAAGGCGUAACGAUUUGGGCACUGUCUCAACGAGAGACUCGGUGAAAUCAUAGUACCUGUGAAGAUGCAGGUUACCCGCGACAGGACGGAAAGACCCCGUGGAGCUUUACUGUAGCCUGAUAUUGAAAUUCGGCACAGCUUGUACAGGAUAGGUAGGAGCCUUUGAAACGUGAGCGCUAGCUUACGUGGAGGCGCUGGUGGGAUACUACCCUAGCUGUGUUGGCUUUCUAACCCGCACCACUUAUCGUGGUGGGAGACAGUGUCAGGCGGGCAGUUUGACUGGGGCGGUCGCCUCCUAAAAGGUAACGGAGGCGCUCAAAGGUUCCCUCAGAAUGGUUGGAAAUCAUUCAUAGAGUGUAAAGGCAUAAGGGAGCUUGACUGCGAGACCUACAAGUCGAGCAGGGUCGAAAGACGGACUUAGUGAUCCGGUGGUUCCGCAUGGAAGGGCCAUCGCUCAACGGAUAAAAGCUACCCCGGGGAUAACAGGCUUAUCUCCCCCAAGAGUUCACAUCGACGGGGAGGUUUGGCACCUCGAUGUCGGCUCAUCGCAUCCUGGGGCUGUAGUCGGUCCCAAGGGUUGGGCUGUUCGCCCAUUAAAGCGGUACGCGAGCUGGGUUCAGAACGUCGUGAGACAGUUCGGUCCCUAUCCGUCGUGGGCGUAGGAAAUUUGAGAGGAGCUGUCCUUAGUACGAGAGGACCGGGAUGGACAUACCUCUGGUGUACCAGUUGUCGUGCCAACGGCAUAGCUGGGUAGCUAUGUGUGGACGGGAUAAGUGCUGAAAGCAUCUAAGCAUGAAGCCCCCCUCAA
Molecule: ribosomal RNA, 1338 nt
Filed under: Staphylococcus aureus F70893
Lineage: Bacteria; Bacillati; Bacillota; Bacilli; Caryophanales; Staphylococcaceae
Description: bacterial LSU rRNA
Rfam family: Bacterial large subunit ribosomal RNA
Source: RNAcentral